This 296-nucleotide unclassified non-coding RNA is filed under the name Dicranidion sp. RNAcentral's name for it is "partial contains 5.8S ribosomal RNA, internal transcribed spacer 2, and large subunit ribosomal RNA". The record is from RNAcentral. Lineage: Eukaryota; Fungi; Ascomycota; Orbiliomycetes; Orbiliales; Orbiliaceae. RNAcentral also lists the same sequence under 2 other names.
AACGCACAUUGCGCCUUUUGGUAUUCCGAGAGGCACGCCUGUUCGAGCGUCAGUAAACCCAUCCGUCGUGAAUUUUAUCGUUCGCCGCGGGAAUUGGCGGGGGAUCCGGGACCGCCGCGCUUCGGUGCGGCCGGUCCUUCCCCCGCUUAAACGCGUAGAAAGCUAGCGGGCCACGCCGCGACCGCAAGGACUAGUAAACCACCUGUCGUUCGGAAGCCUAGUGACCGCCCAAUUCCGGCAUCCAAUGCCACACUGACUUUGACCUCGAAUCAGACGAGGAUACCCGCUGAACUUAA